RNAcentral lists this non-coding RNA (30 nucleotides) under Rattus norvegicus (Norway rat). The record is from RNAcentral. Lineage: Eukaryota; Metazoa; Chordata; Mammalia; Rodentia; Muridae.
AGGAGUCAUAAACAAGAUAACCCAAAAUAU